UCGGUUCAGUUCCAGUCG
Molecule: unclassified non-coding RNA, 18 nt
Filed under: Chlamydomonas reinhardtii
Lineage: Eukaryota; Viridiplantae; Chlorophyta; Chlorophyceae; Chlamydomonadales; Chlamydomonadaceae
Description: small RNA Cre_2735
Source: RNAcentral